GCCUGUUUAACAAAAACACCGCCUUUUGGGCAGCAUAAAAGGUCUGGCCUGCCCACUGUGAUUAAAGGGCCGCAGUAUAUUGACUGUGCAAAGGUAGCAUAAUCAUUAGUCUUUUAAUUGGAGGCUGGAAUGAAUGGUUGGAUGAGGUAAAAGCUGUCUCUUAUAAAUAGGUAGAAUUUAGCCUCUCAGUUAAAAGGCUGGGAUAAAGUUAAAGGACGAGAAGACCCUAUAGAUCUUUAUGGAACUAUAUGAAAUUAAAAGCUGAGUUAGAUUUUUAUAAAAUUUUCAUUUGGUUGGGGUGACAAGGAAAUAAAGUAACUUUCUUAUUACGAACACAGAUUAGUGAAUAAAAGAUCCAUAUAUUAUGAUUUAAAGAGUAAGUUACCUUAGGGAUAACAGCAUAAUCCCUCUGGAGAGUUCUAAUCGAUAGAGGGGGGUGUGACCUCGAUGUUGGACUAAGAUUUAGCUUGGGUGCAGUAGCCCGGGAUAAUGGUCUGUUCGACCAAUAAUAUCUUACAUGAUCUGAGUUCAAACCGGAGCUCC
Molecule: ribosomal RNA, 543 nt
Filed under: Nonnullidens sp. 21 CSC-2019
Lineage: Eukaryota; Metazoa; Arthropoda; Insecta; Ephemeroptera; Leptophlebiidae
Description: partial large subunit ribosomal RNA
Rfam family: Bacterial large subunit ribosomal RNA
Source: RNAcentral